RNAcentral lists this ribosomal RNA (229 nucleotides) under uncultured bacterium. RNAcentral describes it as "partial 16S ribosomal RNA". It matches the Rfam family "Bacterial small subunit ribosomal RNA", at positions 568 to 796 of the family's 1533-position model. The record is from RNAcentral.
UACGUAGGCGGAUUUGUAAGUCAGUGGUGAAAGCCCGGAGCUUAACUCUGGAACUGCCAUUGAUACUGCAAACCUUGAGUACAGUUGAGGUGGGCGGAAUGCAGCAUGUAGCGGUGAAAUGCUUAGAUAUGCUGCAGAACACCGAUUGCGAAGGCAGCUCGCUAAACUGUAACUGACGCUGAGGCACGAAAGCGUGGGGAGCGAACAGGAUUAGAUACCCUGGUAGUCC